AUUGAACGCUGGCGGAAUGCUUUACACAUGCAAGUCGAACGGCAGCACGGGGCAACCUGGUGGCGAGUGGCGAACGGGUGAGUAACACGUAGGUAAUCUACCCUUCAGAGGAGGACAACCUCAGGAAACUGAGGCUAAACCUUCAUACGUUCACUGGUAGGGAUACUGGUGAAGAAAGAGUUACCUUAGUGGUAGCUGCUGAAGGAUGAGCCUGCGGCCCAUCAGGUAGUUGGUGAGGUAACGGCUCACCAAGCCGAAGACGGGUAACCGGUCUGAGAGGAUGUCCGGUCACACUGGGACUGAGACACGGCCCAGACUCCUACGGGAGGCAGCAGCAGGGAAUCUUGGGCAAUGGGCGAAAGCCUGACCCAGCGACGCCGCGUGGAGGAAGAAGUCCUUCGGGGCGUAAACUCCUGGACUGGGGGACGAGUAAGGACGGUACCCCAGUAGAAAGGGACGGCUAACUACGUGCCAGCAGCCGCGGUAAGAUAGCGUACU
RNAcentral lists this ribosomal RNA (498 nucleotides) under uncultured bacterium. RNAcentral's name for it is "bacterial SSU rRNA". It matches the Rfam family "Bacterial small subunit ribosomal RNA", at positions 29 to 531 of the family's 1533-position model. The record is from RNAcentral.